Molecule: ribosomal RNA, 492 nt
Filed under: uncultured bacterium
Lineage: Bacteria
Description: partial 16S ribosomal RNA
Rfam family: Bacterial small subunit ribosomal RNA
Source: RNAcentral
AGUGAACGCUGGCGGUAGGCCUAACACAUGCAAGUCGAACGGCAGCACAGUAAGAGCUUGCCCCUACGGGUGGCGAGUGGCGGACGGGUGAGGAAUACAGCGGCAUCUACUUUUUCGUGGGGGAUAACGUAGGGAAACUUACGCUUAUACCGCAUACGACCUACGGGUGAAAGCAGGGGAUCUUCGGACCUUGCGCGAUUGAAUGCGCCGAUGUCGGAUUAGCUAGUUGGCGGGGUAAAGGCCCACCAAGGCGACGAUCCGUAGCUGGUCUGAGAGGAUGAUCAGCCACACUGGAACUGAGACACGGUCCAGACUCCUACGGGAGGCAGCAGUGGGGAAUAUUGGACAAUGGGCGCAAGCCUGAUCCAGCCAUGCCGCGUGGGUGAAGAAGGCCUUCGGGUUGUAAAGCCCUUUUGUUGGGAAAGAAAAGCAGCAGGUUAAUACCCCGCUGUUCUGACGGUACCCAAAGAAUAAGCACCGGCUAACUUCGUG